This 484-nucleotide ribosomal RNA is filed under the name uncultured bacterium. RNAcentral describes it as "partial 16S ribosomal RNA". It matches the Rfam family "Bacterial small subunit ribosomal RNA", at positions 30 to 506 of the family's 1533-position model. The record is from RNAcentral.
AUUGAACGCUGGCGGCAUGCCUUACACAUGCAAGUCGAACGGCAGCACGGGUGCUUGCACCUGGUGGCGAGUGGCGAACGGGUGAGUAAUACAUCGGAACAUGUCCUGUAGUGGGGGAUAGCCCGGCGAAAGCCGGAUUAAUACCGCAUACGAUCUACGGAUGAAAGCGGGGGACCUUCGGGCCUCGCGCUAUAGGGUUGGCCGAUGGCUGAUUAGCUAGUUGGUGGGGUAAAGGCCUACCAAGGCGACGAUCAGUAGCUGGUCUGAGAGGACGACCAGCCCCCCUGGGCCUGGGACACGGCCCAAACUCCAACGAGGGCCAGCAGUGGAAUUUUUUAGAAAAGGGGCGAAGGCCUGAUCCAGCAAGGCCGCGUGUGGAAAGAGGGCUUCGGGGUUGAAAAGCACUUUGGUCCGAAAAAAAAUCCUUGGCCCAAAUACGUUCGGGGAUGACGGUACCGGAAGAAUAAGCACCGGCUAACUACGU